UGACCUGUGAACAAAAUGUGUGAGCAACGU
This 30-nucleotide non-coding RNA is filed under the name Mus musculus (house mouse). The record is from RNAcentral. Lineage: Eukaryota; Metazoa; Chordata; Mammalia; Rodentia; Muridae.